RNAcentral lists this ribosomal RNA (277 nucleotides) under Streptomyces albidoflavus. Its description in RNAcentral is "partial 23S ribosomal RNA". It matches the Rfam family "Bacterial large subunit ribosomal RNA", at positions 2355 to 2631 of the family's 2925-position model. Lineage: Bacteria; Bacillati; Actinomycetota; Actinomycetes; Kitasatosporales; Streptomycetaceae. The record is from RNAcentral.
GUGCACAAGGGAGCUUGACUGUGAGACCGACGGGUCGAGCAGGGACGAAAGUCGGGACUAGUGAUCCGGCGGUGGCUUGUGGAAGCGCCGUCGCUCAACGGAUAAAAGGUACCCCGGGGAUAACAGGCUGAUCUUCCCCAAGAGUCCAUAUCGACGGGAUGGUUUGGCACCUCGAUGUCGGCUCGUCGCAUCCUGGGGCUGGAGUCGGUCCCAAGGGUUGGGCUGUUCGCCCAUUAAAGCGGUACGCGAGCUGGGUUUAGAACGUCGUGAGACAGUU